Centropristis striata (black sea bass) is the source of this 1405-nucleotide long non-coding RNA. RefSeq lists it as uncharacterized. NCBI's taxonomy places the organism in Eukaryota, Metazoa, Chordata, Actinopteri, Perciformes, Serranidae. The record is from RefSeq and is a predicted model, not a curated record. The transcript has 3 exons.
AUCUAAAGAACAACAACGGUUGUUUGAUGAACAUUGGAAGACCUUCUGAUCAGAGACUGGAGCGCUGGUCCGGAGAGAGGAGGAUGUGGAGCCGGAGCUCGUCUGGGGGCCUCUCUGGCUUUUCGUCUGAGAUAAACACUACUUCACCUAAAAGACUUGAGUAUCCAGUUCUUCAUUGACCUUCAGCAUUCAGUUGUUUGUCUUCACCUUUUCAGGUAAGCAAUUUAAAAAAAAUGCUUCUGUAAUGUUGAGAAACACUGAAAUUAUUAUUUAUAAAGAACUUUCAACCACUGUUCUGUGAUGUCAUGUAUAGUGAUAUACAAAUAUAUUUGAAGGAACGGUGCAUUUGGGAUAAUCAAUAUUAUUAGUAUUAUUCGUGUAUUUAUUUAUUUUUAAAUCAGAGAAUAGGGGUAAAAUAGAUUCUUAGUACAAAAACUGGUAACUGGUAAAAAAAAAAUUGUAACAAUAAUGUUCAUUCAUUAAUUGAUGCUUGGUCAAACUCUCAUCUAAUUAAGUAUUGCUGUCUCAUUAACAUGUUGUAUUUAUUCAUUUUGUAGGCUAAAACCAGAGAAGCCAUCACCAUGUUGUUGUUUGUUGUCAUUAUGCAGAUUUUUCAGCAUGUGGUCCUCAAUAUAUAGUAUAGAAGUCACUGCAUUUUCUGACUUUUCCAGGUUUCCUGUGUCCAGCAUCUUCAAGACAGACUAAGCUAACUUUUCAUAUUUUUUGCACAUUUAUAUUUAGGUUAGGUUAGGAAUAGGUUAGGUUUAUAGUAGAGUAUUUAGUUUGUUUAGUUUAGCUUUUUAUGCUGGUCUAGGGACAGUUAAGUUAGCAAAUUAAUUUAGUUCAGAUCACUUACAAUUGCAUAUUAUUGUUACAAUUGUGUUAUUUUGUGAGUUAUUGUUGUACAGGCUAUUGUAUAUUGCAGAACCAAGUGAGACGAGGAAGACCACUGCUUCCAAGAUGCCGCUCAGAAAGUGCGUUGGACAAGUCUCGACCUUGCAGAUCCUGCCCCACUUAGCCCAACCACUUCCGACCAUGGGGUACCUCAAAGACCUCCGUCAACCAGCCGGCUGUGGAUGAUGGAUAACGGACCCACAACUCCUUCUCCAGUCUACAAGGUUCUGAAAAUACAGACACCCCCACAGUCCAAGAACAGCUGGAUGACCUCUGGACCCACUUGCCCCCGUUCACCAGUUGAAAAGAUAAGCUUUUUAAAAAAUACUUCAAUUGUUAAUUCUGCACAAAGUGAUACACAAAAAAUUGUCUGUAUUCCAUUUCAACAAACACGAACAUGAAAUGUAUAUUUAAAUACAUGACUUAAUGCAAGUCAAUCAUACUAAACAUCAUCUUUUUUUUUUGAACCAACCAUUGCACACACUUCCAUCCAAGGAGAGGUUACAUCUUG